ACGGAAGAAAUUGAAGCUCGAGAAGGAAUACCAAAACCUAGUUCACU
This 47-nucleotide small RNA is filed under the name Arabidopsis thaliana (thale cress). RNAcentral's name for it is "ccmC". The record is from RNAcentral. Lineage: Eukaryota; Viridiplantae; Streptophyta; Magnoliopsida; Brassicales; Brassicaceae.